UACGGAGGGUGCGAGCGUUGUCCGGAAUCAUUGGGCGUAAAGGGCGCGUAGGUGGCCCGGUCAGUUCGUGGUGAAAGCGCGGGGCUCAACCCUGCGUCGGCCAUGAAUACUGCCGCGGCUGGAGCACUGUAGAGGCAGGCGGAAUUCCGGGGUGUAGCGGUGGAAUGCGUAGAGAUCCGGAAGAACACCGGUGGCGAAGGCGGCCUGCUGGGCGAGUUGCUGGACACUGAGGCGCGACAGCGUGGGAGCA
Molecule: ribosomal RNA, 250 nt
Filed under: uncultured bacterium
Lineage: Bacteria
Description: partial 16S ribosomal RNA
Rfam family: Bacterial small subunit ribosomal RNA
Source: RNAcentral